Long non-coding RNA from Mytilus californianus (California mussel), 1771 nucleotides. RefSeq lists it as uncharacterized. NCBI's taxonomy places the organism in Eukaryota, Metazoa, Mollusca, Bivalvia, Mytilida, Mytilidae. The transcript has 4 exons. The record is from RefSeq and is a predicted model, not a curated record.
GAAAUUGACUAAAUGAGAUUGGGGGUUAGGCCAAUUUAAGUUAAUUUUGGACCAAUUUUAAGAGAUUGUGACGGGCAACGACUAUAUAGGUGUUGUAGAAGAGACAUUUGCGCAUCGUUUAGGAAAAUCUCCAGAGUGGUUUAUGUUCGAAAAUCUGAAGUUACGGUUAAAAAACUGAAAAUUUUAUUGUGAAAUUGACAAAAUGAGAUUAGGGGGGUAGGCCAAUUUAAGUUAAUUUUGGACCAAUUUCAAGAGAUUGUGACGGGCAACGAUUACAUAGGUGUUGUAGAGGAGACAUUUGCGCAUCGUUUAAGAAAAUCUCCAGAGUGGUUUAUGUUCGAAAAUCUGAAGUUCCGGUUAAAAAACUGAAAAUUUUAUUGUGAAAUUGACAAAAUGAGAUUAGGGGGGUAGGGCACUAAAAAAAAAAUUUGGACCAUUUUAAAGAGAUUGUGACGGGCAACGACUAUAUAGGUGUUGUAGAGGAGACAUUGGCGCAUCGUUUAAGAAAAUCUCCUGAGUGGUUUAUGUUCGAAAAUCUGAAGUUACGGUUAAAAAACUGAAAAUGUUAUUGUGAAAUUGACAAAAUGAGAUUAAAACGGUAGGGCACUAAAAGAAAAAAUUGGACCAUUUUAAAGAGAUUAUGACGGGCAACGACUAUAUAGGUGUUGUAGAGGAGACAUUGGCGCAUCGUUUAUGAAAAUCUCCUGAGUGGUUUAUGUUCGAAAAUCUGAAGUUACGGUUAAAAAACUGAAAAUUUUAAUGUGAAAUUGACAGAAUGAGAUUAAGGGGGUAGGGCACUAAAAGAAAAAUUUGGACCAUUUUAAAGAGAUUGUGACGGGCAACGACUAUAUAGGUGUUGAAGAGGAGACAUUGGCGCAUCGUUUAAGAAAAUCUCCAGAGUAGUUCAUGUUCGAAAAUCUGAAGUUACGGUAAAAAAACUGAAAUUGUGAAAUUCACAAAAUGAGAUUAGGGGGCAGGCCAAUUUAAGUUAAUUUUGGACCAAUUUAAGAGAUUGUGACGGGCAACGACUAUACAGGUUUUGUAAAGGAGACAUUGGCGCAUCGUUUAAGAAAAUCUCCAGAGUAGUUUAUGUUCGAAAAUCUGAAGUUACGGUUAAAAAACUGAAAAUUUUAUUGUGAAAUUGACAAAAUGAGAUUAGGGGGGUAGGGCACUAAAAGAAAAAUUUAGACCAUUUUAAAGAGAUUGUGACGGGCAACGACUAUAUAGGUGUUGAAGAGGAGACAUUGGCGCAUCGUUUAAGAAAAUCUCCAGAGUAGUUUAUGUUCGAAAAUCUGAAGUUACGGUAAAAAACUGAAAUUGUGAAAUUCACAAAAUGAGAUUAGGGGGCAGGCCAAUUUAAGUUAAUUUUGGACCAAUUUAAGAGAUUGUGACGGGCAACGACUAUACAGGUUUUGUAAAGGAGACAUUGGCGCAUUGUUUAAGAAAAUCUCCAGAGUAGUUUAUGUUCGAAAAUCUGAAGUUACGGUUAAAAAACUGAAAAUUUUAUUGUGAAAUUGACAAAAUGAGAUUAGGGGGGUAGGGCACUAAAAGAAAAAUUUGGACCAUUUUAAAGAGAUUGUGACGGGCAACGACUAUAUAGGUGUUGUAGAAGAGACAUUGGCGCAUCGUUUACGAAAAUCUCCAGAGUGGUUUAUGUUCGAAAAUCUGAAGUUACGGUUAAAAAACUGAAAAUUUUAUUGUGUAAUUGACAAAAUGAGAUUAGGGGGGUAGGGCAAUUCAAGUUAAUUUUGGACCUAUUUCAAGAGAUUGU